GCUCCGGUGGCUUAGUGGUUAAAGCGUCCGCUUUGGAUGCGGGAGGACGUGGAUUCGAUCCCCGGUCGAGUCA
Molecule: non-coding RNA, 73 nt
Organism: Potamilus streckersoni
Lineage: Eukaryota; Metazoa; Mollusca; Bivalvia; Unionida; Unionidae
Source: the annotation of a GenBank genome assembly